RNAcentral lists this long non-coding RNA (613 nucleotides) under Equus caballus (horse). RNAcentral's name for it is "lncRNA (ENSECAG00000059210.1)". Lineage: Eukaryota; Metazoa; Chordata; Mammalia; Perissodactyla; Equidae. The record is from RNAcentral.
GAUGAGCAGUGCCAUGUCCGCGCCCAGGAUUCGAACCAACGAAACACUGGGCCGCCUGCAGCGGAGCGCGCGAACCCAACCACUCGACCACGGGGCCAGCCCCCAGAAAUUUACACGUGGAACUCAUGCAUCUUCAUUUUCCUCCUUCCUGGAGGGUGGAUACAGCCCAAAGGAUACUAGGAAUGGUGCAAAGAUGCUGAGGAAAUUGGAGUCAUUUGGAAACUUCUGUUCUAAGGGGAAGGUUCUAUAUGUCAGAAGAUGCCAAAAGGUCUCAAGAAGAUUACAUGGUACCUCUAGAGGUGUUCGAUGUGUUGACAAAUUCACACCUCCUAUAUUCCCUGAUUCUAUUAAGAUGACCUACUUUAAAGGUUUAUUUUCCGCAUUGCAGAAGCCAUUAAACGAGUCUAUGCAAGCAAUUAAAGAGCAUUGCGUGGGAUCUGCUGAAAGCACGAAUAUAUUCAGUUGUCCUGGUUUUAAAUCAAUAAACUAACAUGGAUUUGGAAUUAACACCCACAUGGUGGACAAGCUCACCUUGCUUAAAAAACAAGCUAUUUCUAUUAGCUCUGAUCUCAAAACUAAUGAAAGUCAACAGUGAUUUUUAUCUUGAUCCUAG